AGUGAACGCUGGCGGUAGGCCUAACACAUGCAAGUCGAACGGCAGCACAGUAAGAGCUUGCUCUUACGGGUGGCGAGUGGCGGACGGGUGAGGAAUACAUCGGAAUCUACUUUUUCGUGGGGGAUAACGUAGGGAAACUUACGCUAAUACCGCAUACGACCUACGGGUGAAAGCAGUGGAUCUUCGGACCUUGCGCGAUUGAAUGCGCCGAUGUCGGAUUAGCUAGUUGGCGGGGUAAAGGCCCACCAAGGCGACGAUCCGUAGCUGGUCUGAGAGGAUGGUCGGCCACACUGGAACUGGGACACGGUCCAGACUCCUACGGGAGGCAGCAGUGGGGAAUAUUGGACAAUGGGCGCAAGCCUGAUCCAGCCAUACCGCGUGGGUGAAGAAGGCCUUCGGGUUGUAAAGCCCUUUUGUUGGGAAAGAAAAGCAGCAGGUUAAUACCCCGCUGUUCUGACGGUACCCAAAGAAUAAGCACCGGCUAACUUCGUG
RNAcentral lists this ribosomal RNA (492 nucleotides) under uncultured bacterium. RNAcentral's name for it is "partial 16S ribosomal RNA". It matches the Rfam family "Bacterial small subunit ribosomal RNA", at positions 29 to 507 of the family's 1533-position model. The record is from RNAcentral.